CCUACGGGUGGCAGCAGUGGGGAAUAUUGGGCAAUGGAGGCAACUCUGACCCAGCAACGCCGCGUGAAUGAUGAAGGUCUUCGGAUUGUAAAGUUCUGUGAUGGGGGAUGAACAAAAUGACGGUACCCCACUAGCAAGCCACGGCUAACUACGUGCCAGCAGCCGCGGUAAUACGUAGGAGGCGAGCGUUAUCCGGAAUGACUGGGCGUAAAGGGUGCGUAGGUGGUUUGGCAAGUUAGUAGCGUAACUCCAAGGCUCAACCUUGGAACUACUACUAAAACUGUUGGACUUGAGUGCAGGAGGGGCAACCGGAAGUCCUAGUGUAGCGGUGGAAUGCGUAGAUAUUAGGAGGAACACCAGUGGCGAAGGCGGGUUGCUAGACUGUAACGGACACUGAGGCACGAAAGCGUGGGGAGCAAACAGGAUUAGAUACCCGUGUAGUC
This 443-nucleotide ribosomal RNA is filed under the name uncultured bacterium. Its description in RNAcentral is "partial 16S ribosomal RNA". It matches the Rfam family "Bacterial small subunit ribosomal RNA", at positions 338 to 795 of the family's 1533-position model. The record is from RNAcentral.